GAGUUUGAUCCUGGCUCAGAAUCAACGCUGGCGGCGUGCCUAACACAUGCAAGUCGAACGCGAAAGCCCCGCAAGGGGUAAGUAGAGUGGCAAACGGGUGAGUAACACGUGGGUGACCUGCCUUCGAGUGGGGGAUAACGUCCCGAAAGGGACGCUAAUACCGCAUGACAUCCUGCUCUUGGACGAGCGGAGAUCAAAGCCGGGGAUCGCAAGACCUGGCGCUUGAAGAGGGGCCCGCGCCUGAUUAGCUAGUUGGUGGGGUAAUGGCUCACCAAGGCAACGAUCAGUAUCCGGCCUGAGAGGGCGGACGGACACACUGGGACUGAGACACGGCCCAGACUCCUACGGGAGGCAGCAGUGGGGAAUUGUUCGCAAUGGGCGCAAGCCUGACGACGCAACGCCGCGUGGAGGACGAAGAUCUUCGGGUCGUAAACUCCUGUCGAGCGGAACGAACGCUUCGCGGGUGAAUAAUCCGCGGAAUUGACGGUACCGCUAAAGGAA
RNAcentral lists this ribosomal RNA (501 nucleotides) under uncultured Acidobacteriota bacterium. Its description in RNAcentral is "bacterial SSU rRNA". It matches the Rfam family "Bacterial small subunit ribosomal RNA", at positions 9 to 489 of the family's 1533-position model. Lineage: Bacteria; Pseudomonadati; Acidobacteriota. The record is from RNAcentral.